RNAcentral lists this transfer RNA (45 nucleotides) under Sphagnum inundatum. RNAcentral describes it as "partial tRNA-His". Lineage: Eukaryota; Viridiplantae; Streptophyta; Sphagnopsida; Sphagnales; Sphagnaceae. The record is from RNAcentral.
GGCGGACGUGGCCAAGUGGAUUAAGGCUAAGUGGAUUGUGAAUCC